UACGGCUAUAUCUCGUUGAAACACCGGUUCUCGUACGAUCACCGAAGUUAAGCAACGUUGAUCCUGGUCAGUACCUAGAUGUCUGACCGCUUGGGAAUAUCACGUGCUGUAAG
Molecule: non-coding RNA, 113 nt
Organism: Acanthosepion pharaonis
Lineage: Eukaryota; Metazoa; Mollusca; Cephalopoda; Sepiida; Sepiidae
Source: the annotation of a GenBank genome assembly